This 546-nucleotide ribosomal RNA is filed under the name uncultured bacterium. RNAcentral's name for it is "bacterial SSU rRNA". It matches the Rfam family "Bacterial small subunit ribosomal RNA", at positions 1 to 530 of the family's 1533-position model. The record is from RNAcentral.
CCGAAUUCUGUCGACAACAGAGUGUGAUCCUGGCUCAGAUUGAACGCUGGCGGCAGGCCUAACACAUGCAAGUCGAGCGGAUGAUGGGAGCUUGCUCCCGGAUUCAGCGGCGGACGGGUGAGUAAUGCCUAAGAAUCUGCCUGCAUAGUGGGGGACAACGUUUCGAAAGGAGCGCUAAUACCGCAUACGUCCUACGGGAGAAAGCAGGGGACCUUCGGGCCUUGCGCUAUCACAUGAGCCUAGGUCGGAUUAGCUAGUUGGUGGGGUAAAGGCCUACCAAGGCGACGAUCCGUAACUGGUCUGAGAGGAUGAUCAGUCACACUGGAACUGAGACUCGGUCCACACUCCUAGGGGAGGCAGCAGUGGGGAAUAUUGGACAAUGGGCGAAAGCCUGAUCCAGCCAUGCCGCGUGUGUGAAGAAGGUCUUCGGAUUGUAAAGCACUUUAGGUUGGGACGAAGGGCAAUAAAUUAAUACCUUGCUGUAUUGACGUUACCAACAGAAUAAGCACCGGCUAACUUCGUGCCAGCAGCCGCGGUGAUACGAAG